CGGACGGGUGAGUAACGCGUGAGAAUCUAGCUUCAGGUUCGGGACAACAUUGGGAAACCGAUGCUAAUACCGGAUGUGCCGAGAGGUGAAAGGCUUGCUGCCUGAAGAAGAGCUCGCGUCUGAUUAGCUAGUUGGUGGUGUAAGGGACUACCAAGGCGACGAUCAGUAGCUGGUCUGAGAGGAUGAUCAGCCACACUGGAACUGAGACACGGUCCAGACUCCUACGGGAGGCAGCAGUGGGGAAUUUUCCGCAAUGGGCGAAAGCCUGACGGAGCAAUACCGCGUGAGCAAGGGGGCUCUUGGGUUGUAAACCUCUUUUCUCAGGGAAUAAGCAAUGAAGGUACCUGAGGAAUCAGCAUCGGCUAACUCCGUGCCAGC
This 378-nucleotide ribosomal RNA is filed under the name Planktothrix agardhii Os-Pam-SC. RNAcentral's name for it is "bacterial SSU rRNA". It matches the Rfam family "Bacterial small subunit ribosomal RNA", at positions 99 to 512 of the family's 1533-position model. The record is from RNAcentral. Lineage: Bacteria; Bacillati; Cyanobacteriota; Cyanophyceae; Oscillatoriales; Microcoleaceae.